RNAcentral lists this ribosomal RNA (444 nucleotides) under uncultured bacterium. RNAcentral's name for it is "partial 16S ribosomal RNA". It matches the Rfam family "Bacterial small subunit ribosomal RNA", at positions 339 to 795 of the family's 1533-position model. The record is from RNAcentral.
CUACGGGAGGCUGCAGUCGAGAAUCUUCCGCAAUGGGCGCAAGCCUGACGGAGCAAUGCCGCGUGAGGGAUGACGGCCCUAGGGUUGUAAACCUCUGUCAGAAGGGACGAAGAACGUGACGGUACCUUCAGAGGAAGCCAUGGCUAGGACUACGUGCCAGCAGCCGCGGUAAUACGUAGAUGGCGAGCGUUAUUCGGAUUUACUGGGCGUAAAGGGUCCGUAGGGGGUCUGCCAAGUCUGAUGUGAAAUCCUGCGGCUCAACCGCGGAACUGCAUUGGAAACUGGCGGACUAGAGUGUGCGAGGGGUGAGCGGAAUUCCUGGUGUAGCGGUGGAAUGCGUAGAUAUCAGGAAGAACACCGAUGGCGAAGGCGGCUCACUGGCGCAUCACUGACCCUGAGGGACGAAAGCGUGGGUAGCAAACAGGAUUAGAUACCCCCGUAGUC